AACUUUUGAGCAUCAGUUCUCUGCUCUCACGAUGCAGGGUUCCGAGGAUCACACAGGUCAUCAAGCUUGUUCAGCAAGCACUUCCACCUACUGAGGAAUCUCACUGAUUCCAAACUAAUCCAGUCUUAGGAAUAUUCUGGAAUACUUGGGAUGAAUAUGAAUGUGUAAAGACAGACCAGUGGGUUUUCAAAGUUGUCAAAAGUGUGAGAGACUCCAAGCUCCUGGAAAUAGAGAGGGAAGAGCAGGGAAAGACAUUGUAGAACAGUGCUUAAGAUGUCUGUCCUCUGUGGAACCUAGAGCUCUUAAUAUUAACCAGGAUCCAGGCUGUUUUGCUGGAACUCCUGAGCUUCUCAGAGCAUCUAUAGUGGUGCCUUUGAAGUUACGGUUACUGAGAGGUACAGACUGUAGGACUGGUGAUGGCCCAGCAGUUCAGAGCACUUGCUGCUCUUCCCGAGCACCCUAGUUUGAUUUCCAGUACUCACACCCUCACACAGACAUACCCGAAAUACACAUGAUUAAAAGUAAUGCAAAAAUAAAAUUUAAAAAAUA
Molecule: long non-coding RNA, 549 nt
Filed under: Rattus norvegicus (Norway rat)
Lineage: Eukaryota; Metazoa; Chordata; Mammalia; Rodentia; Muridae
Description: long non-coding RNA NONRATT028378
Source: RNAcentral